This 497-nucleotide ribosomal RNA is filed under the name uncultured bacterium. RNAcentral describes it as "partial 16S ribosomal RNA". It matches the Rfam family "Bacterial small subunit ribosomal RNA", at positions 28 to 507 of the family's 1533-position model. The record is from RNAcentral.
GAUGAACGCUGGCGGCGUGCCUAAUACAUGCAAGUCGAGCGAACAGACGAGGAGCUUGCUCCUCUGACGUUAGCGGCGGACGGGUGAGUAACACGUGGAUAACCUACCUAUAAGACUGGGAUAACUUCGGGAAACCGGAGCUAAUACCGGAUAAUAUAUUGAACCGCAUGGUUCAAUAGUGAAAGACGGUCUUGCUGUCACUUAUAGAUGGAUCCGCGCUGCAUUAGCUAGUUGGUAAGGUAACGGCUUACCAAGGCGACGAUGCAUAGCCGACCUGAGAGGGUGAUCGGCCACACUGGAACUGAGACACGGUCCAGACUCCUACGGGAGGCAGCAGUAGGGAAUCUUCCGCAAUGGGCGAAAGCCUGACGGAGCAACGCCGCGUGAGUGAUGAAGGUCUUCGGAUCGUAAAACUCUGUUAUUAGGGAAGAACAAAUGUGUAAGUAACUAUGCACGUCUUGACGGUACCUAAUCAGAAAGCCACGGCUAACUACGUG